RNAcentral lists this long non-coding RNA (7826 nucleotides) under Gossypium barbadense (sea-island cotton). Its description in RNAcentral is "long non-coding RNA (GBAR_LNC003714)". The record is from RNAcentral. Lineage: Eukaryota; Viridiplantae; Streptophyta; Magnoliopsida; Malvales; Malvaceae.
ACAAUUUUCCAAACUUAAUCAAUUUAAUAUUGGCCCAAUGCAAUGGAGCUGAAGAUUUAAAAAACUAGAUAUUUUCCUAAGAGUCUAGAGAGUUCCUCAUUAUUGCUUCUAAUUAAUGCCCAGUCAAAGACAGCCGAACCUUGUCUAUUCAUCUGAAAAUCUAAUUACUUUUCUUUGCUUUUGACGGUUCAGUUUUAUGGAAAGGUGUUCUUCAAAACUGAUGCCUCUGCUCAUUUGCUUUCCUCUUAUGUAUUUCUUUUUCAUUUCCUCCUCAGUCUGGUUCCUUUCUCUGGUUGAUUUGUUGUUGUUUCUCAGCAUAUUCUGGGACCGUCAUUUCUAGGUAUAACUCUUCUUUCCUUUUUAACGAUUCUGUUGCCACUAUAUGCGCGAGAGCGUUUUUCGAUCUUGGUGUAAACUUGAACAUGACACUCCUAGAUCUGUUUAGUAUCUGCUUGAUAUCGUGAAUAUAUGCUCCAAUACAUGAUCGAUCUUGAUUUUCUGACAAACAUUUCUUUAUUGUUGUGAGGGAAUCUCCUUCUAUGAUAAUCAUCGGCCAUUCUUGUUCUACUCCUAUUUGAACAGCUUUUCGACACGCGAUUGCUUCAGCAACAUAGGCUGACGUUACAUCGUGAUGAAUCUCUGAGCAGGUGAGUAAAACGAUUCCUUCAAUGUUUCUAGCUACAACUCCUGAGGCAGAUUGUUGAUGAGUCGAAUCAUAGGCACCAUCAAAAUUAAUUUUGACGAACUCGCUAGGUGGCUGAGUCCAUCUUUUAUGUUCCUAUUCUCUUACUGACUUUGCCUUUUCAAGACCAUAAAGUUCAGCAAGGUAGUUAUUGAUGAAAUUCACUGUUUCUUGCCCUGUGCUGGUUUUUUUCUCAUGUACUCUUUUGUUUUUUUCACCCCAGAUAGCCCGAAGGCCACAACAGAAGAGUCUGUUUUGGUACGUAUUAAGCUAACCAGAGGUCCAGGUAAUCCAUUGUAUAAAAUCCAUGUCUGGAUUCUUGAGAAUAUUCUGAAGUUUUAAUAGUGCCCAAACUUCCAUUGUGACAGGGCACAUUCUGAAGAUAUGAUCGGUUGUUUCAUUCCUUUCUCCACAUCGGGGACAGUCUGUGUUACUAAUUAGUUUCCGAUGUUGCAUAUUCACCUUCGUAGGCAGAUAGUUCCAGGCAAUUCUCCAUAUUGUAAUCUUUAUUUUGGUCGGUAAAUUUAGUCGCCAUAAUUUUUUGUAAAAAUCCCCAUAGUUGGUUUGUAAAGCAUAAGCUCUAGGAAAUUCAUCAAAAAUUUGUAAUAGUUUAUACGCGCUGCGUACCGAGAAUUCCCCCGAAUAAUCACCUCCCCACACAAACAGAUCGUCAUGAGGUGUGCAUGCUAAAGGUAUCCGAAGAAUUUUUUCAGCAUCGACCGUUGAAAAGGUAUUGUUGAUGAGUUCUCUGUUCCAUAUUCGCGCAUUACUGUCGAUUAACUCAUUAACUUUUGCAUCUUGCAUAGUAUUAACAACCGAAGAUACUUUAAAAUUAAUAGCGUCUGGAAUACACGCAUCAUCAUUAAUGGAAAUAUUUGAACCUGUACCAACCCUCAGCACAUACCUUUUCCUAAAAUUCCCCUUGCUGCCCAUAUGCUUUUCCAGAUGUAGGAGCUAGUUUUUCCCAAUCGAGAAUUUAAAAAGUGCUCAUUCGAAAAAUAUUUUGUAUUAAAAACUUGUGUAACCAGUGAAUCUUGAUUAUUAAUAAUCCAUCCUUGCUUGGCUAAUAAUGAGAUUAAAUUGCAACAUAUUCUUGAACCCCAGACCCCCUUCUUCUUUUGAUCGGCACAUAUAUUUCCAUUGACACCAAUGUAUCCCUUUUCUACCAUUCCCUUUUUGCCACCAGAAUUUUGCAAAAAUAUUUUUCAACUCUUCACAAAAAGAUUUUGGUAAGAGAAAACAUGACAUAGCAUAUGCUGGAAUUGCUUGAAGCACUGACUUGAUAAAAACCUCCUUACCCUAUUGUGACAAUAAUCUUGUGCUCCAACCAUCGAUUUUGAAUUUAAUUUUAUCCUUUAUAUUUGAAAAGCUUCUUUCUUUCGUUUGCCUACCACAUUAGGGAGUCCAAGAUAUUUUUCCAGAUUUGUGGAGCAUCUCACCCCUAAUACUGUUGAUACCUCCGCUUUGUCUCUUUCCGUUGUAUUUGAGUUGUAGAAAAUUGUUGACUUACUGAAAUUCAUACACUGUCUUGAACACUGUUCGUACUAUUUCAAGAUACCUUUUAAGAUUCGUGCUCCUCUAUUUGUCGCUUGGCCAAACAUUAUACUAUCAUCUACAAACAGUAGGUGGGAAAUUGUUGGCCCUUUUCGACUUGCUCUUACUCUUCUUAGUAAACCAUCAGUUGUCGCCAUUCUUACUAAAGACGAAAGUCCCUCACUGCAAAUUAGAAACAAAAAAGGGCUAAGUGGAUCGCCUUGACGAAGCCCUUGGGUGGGUUUAAGAACAAUUCCUCUUCUUUCAUUGAUGUUGGCUUUGUAGGAGGCUGUGGAGAUACACUUCAUAUUCAAUGACACCCAUUCCUUUGCCUAUCUCAUUCUCAGCAUAACAUCCUUUAGAAAAACCCAUUCAACUCUGUCAUAAGCUUUGCUCAUAUCAAGUUUAAUUGCCAUAAGCCAUUUUUUCCCUAUCCGUUUCUUCCGCAAUGUGUGGAUGAGUUCAUAAGCUAUUAACACGUUAUCUGUAAUAAGCCUUAUUGGAACAAAAGCACUCUGGGCCCUGUCUAUGCUUCUUCCAAUGACCCCUUGAAAACGAUUAGCAAUUGUUUUUGCCACAAUUUUGUAUAGAACUAUGCAUAGGCUGAUAGGUCUGAAAUUAGCUAGACUUGUAGGUUUUGGUAGUUUUGGGAUAAGCAUAAUAUCGGUAAUAUUAACCAAAUCAAAUUUUUUUUUCUUAUUCAGGACUUCCAAAAACAAAAUUUCUCAACAUCAUUACUUACAAUGUGCCAGAAUUUUUGAAAAAAUAGUGUUAGAAAACCAUCAUGACCUGGUGCUUUAGUGGGCCCCAUUCAUUUUAGAGCUGAAAAAACCUCUUCUGCUGUAAAUGGUGUAAGCAACAUUGCAUUUAUAUUAGCUGAAAUACUAGUAUUUAUUCCUUCUAGUAUAUGGGAUAAAUUUCCCACACCCUUCGAUGUGAAUAGAUUUUUGAAAUAAUUUGAAGCAGUUUCAUUAAUUGCCAAUUCAUCAGUGAUUUCCUAUCCUCCAUCAUCUUCCAAUCUAUUAAUAGUGUUUAUUUGUUUAUGUACUGACGCAUACUUAUGAAAAAAGGUUGUGUUCUUAUCCCUUAAUUGAAGCCAGUUAGCUCGUGCCCUUUGUUCCCAAUACAUUUCAUCUUUAUCAAUCUCCAUAUUGAGUUGGAUCCUAGUAUCGAUUAGCUUUUCUAUAGUGGUAUCAUCUCUGUCGCUUGCCAUUAAUUCUUCAAGGUCCUUUGUAAGCCUAUUCUUUAAACCAACUCAUUUUUUCUUUAUUACAUUCGCCCACCUCGCUAGGCUAAAUUGUAUUCUAUCUAGCUUUUCGCCUAUAGAUCCAUCCGAAGACUCCCACGCUCUUCUAAUCUCUUGCUCGAAAGAUUCCUCCAUAAUCCACCAUGCCUCGAAUUUGAAACUUUGACUUCCAUUACUGCUUUUCUCACUAUUAGUACUUAUAAGUAAGGGGCAAUGAUCUGAAAUCGUACGUGUUAAAUGAUGAAUAGUUCUAUUUGGAAAAAGUUGCAUCCAUUUCUUAUUUGCCACACCUCUAUCAAGUCUCUCUUUAAUAUUUGUUUCCAACAAGUUUCCACGCUCCCAUGUGAACCAAACCCCCAUGUACCCUAUGUCCAUUAAUUGACAUUCAUUAAGAACUUCGCGAAAAGCUUCCAUGCUUUUUUCUUCCCUCGAUUGACCACCACUUUUUUCAAAAGAAUACAUUAUUUCAUUUAAAUCACCACAAACUAGUCAAUGAUGAUUUUGAUUUUUACCCAAUUGCCUUAAUAGAUUCCAUAAGGCGUUCUUAUCUUGAACAUAAGGCGAACCAUAGAAUCCAGUAAAUCUCCACUCUUCAUUGACAUUUUCUUCCUUUACCAACACAUCAAUAUGAUUUCUUGAAAAAAUUUUAAGAGCUACAGUAAUUCUUGUUUUCCGCGCCAUACAAAUUCCCCCUUUAGAACCUUCUGCUCCUACAUCAAUUCCAUUCUCAAAACCAUAUCUCCUUCGAAUUUUUUCCAUACACCAUCCAUCAAUUUUGAUCUCCAUAAAGAAAACCAUCUGGGGCUUAUGUUGCUUCAGCAAAUACCGAAGCCUUCGUGUUGGCCGUGGAUUCCCCAAUCCACGGAUAUUCCAGCAUAUGGUUUUCAUUGUGCCUGGUCAGCAUGCCUCUUGGUAGCCGCCGAUCUAUAUUGGUGAAAAUCAUAACUCUGGGAGAAAUAUUCAUCCGACAAAAUUGUAUCGUUUGUAGUUUGGUUUUCUUUGCCAUCAUUGUAACGCCCCUUACCCGAGACCGUUGCCGGAGUCGAGCACAAGGCACUACUAAACUUAUUUGAGCACUUAACCAAAUUUAGAUAAUUUAUAUCAUACUUUUUAGACAAUCUGUCCAACUGCGUCAUAGUUGCUAAAUAAUUCAUAUCUCGAGUUAUAAAACUCGAAACCCAAAUCCGUAAAUUUUCCCUGAAUUUAUACUCAUAUAUCUACUUACCAAUUUUUUUUAUAAUUUUUGGUUGGUCCAAUUAGUACAGUUUAUUAGUUAAAUCUUUCCCUGUUUCAGGGUUUGACUACUUUGACCUCUGUGCACUACGAACUAAAUUUCUCUCUGUACAAAAUUCAAAUAACCAUGCCGUUUUUUUCUCUUAAAAAUAGACCCAAUGAGGAAUCCAUACAUAUACAGUAUGACUCAUAAUUAUUUUUGUGCAAUUUUUAAUGAUUUUCUAAAAUCAGAACAGGGGAACUCGAAGUCAUUCAGAUUUUGUCUCACCACAAUUUAAAUAUCUCAUAACAUAAAAUCCAAUUGCAUGCACCGUUUCCUCUAUAUGAAACUAGACUUAUUAGGCUUUAAUCUCAUUUUUUUUCCAGCCCUUAACUCAAUUUCCACAAUUUAUGGUGAAUUUUCAAAGUCAAACUACUGCUACUUACCAAAAACUGUUUUAGUACAAAUAUUGCUAACUAGUUCAUAACAUCUUUACUUCAAUUCAUUCAAACUCUAUACAUGCCAUAUAAAUCUUUAAACAUAAAACAAAAACUACCAGAAUUGAUCUGAAUAGUGUGCCCUGUUGUGUUGAUCCGAUCUACCCACUUCACUUCAAGUCAAUCUACAUAAAAAUAUUAAACACACACAAGUAAGCUUAUUGAAGCUUAGUAAGCUCAUAGGCAUAUAAACACAAAUCAUAUCAAAUAUCGUACACAAUCAUAUAUCUAUUAGUUUAACUAUUUCAUCCUCCAAAUCACAAUUUCAUUAAUAACUCAUUGGAAUAAUUUCCAUAUGGCUACUCACAAUUUAACUCCCUUAGGCCCAUUUCUCAUUUACUUCAUUGUCAAAUUAAGGAACAAUAAGGGAAUUGAGUGCUUCAUUAUCACAUUGCCAUAGUAAACUAUGGACUUUCACAUUGUUACGCAUCACACACCGAAGCCAUAGCCUUGCCAUGGUCUUACACGGUUCACAUAUCAUACCGAAGCCAUAUCCCAGACAUGGUCUUAUACGGAAUCACAUUAUCACAUUAUACCGAUGCCAUAGCCCAGCUAUGGUCUUAUACGGAGUCACAUUAUCACAUUGCACCGAUGCUAUAGCCCAGCUACGGUCUUAAACGGGCACACUUAUCACAUAUUUUUCGUCAAUUCAUCAGGGUCACAGAAUAGAAGCAUUCAAAUCCAUUGUUCUUACUAAUUUGUACUUUUAGUUACACAUUAUUCAUUAGUUAAUGCAAAUUGAUAAUAUUCAUCAACAAUAAAAUACUUUAACAAUCAUAAGAUUUUCAUAUCAAAACAUUGAACUUUGCCAUAUGAACUUACCUGGACUAAUUUACAAAAGUCGUAGAAAUUCAGGGACUAUUCUUGAAUUUUCUCCUUUCCACGAUUCAGUUCGUUUUCUUGAUCUAUAAUUAUAAAAUAAUUCCUUCAUUAGCAUCCAUUUCAAUUCUAUUUCACUUCACAAUUUAUGCUGUUCAAAUUUCGAAAUACCACUUUUACCCCAAAAUUUACAGUUUUCAUAAUUUAGUCCCUGCUCAAUUCACCCAUCAAUUGAACUAAUUUUUCUCAAUUAACACUUUAUUUUAUCAUUAUAAACUAUUUCAAAACCUUUUAUAUUCUUAAUUUCAACAGAAACCUUCAAUUCACAACUUUUUCACAAUUAGGUCCUAAAUAUCAUUUCCUAUCAAAAUCACUUAAUAAAACCACCUUAAUAUGAAAUUAGAACUUAAAUUUCAUAAUAAUUCAUCAUAAAAUUCCCUUAUCCAUCCAGGGUAACUUCCAAUUUCACCCAUAAAAUCAAAAACUAAUGAAUUCUACAAGUGGACCUAAUUGUAAAAGUCAUAAAAACAUAAAAAUUAUCAAGAAAAGUAAGAAUUAAACUCAAAUGAUGUAAAAAAUGAAAAACCAGCUUUCUCCAGACCUUCUAUGGCGUUUUGGCUGAGAAAAUAUGAAGAAAUGUCUAGAUUUUUCAAUUACAUCAUUAUUUAACUAUUAACUUUUAUGCUAUUUCCAAUUUUGCCUCUUGUUCACAUUGUUUUCUUGCUUAUUUCAUACCCAAACCGUCCAGCCAUUAACUUUUGGGUCUAAUUGCUCUUUAAAUCCAUAUUUUUAAAUACUUAAGCUAUUUACUCACAAUUUAACAAAUUUUGCGCUAUUUUCAAUUUAGUUCUUUUUAAUUAAUUAGCCAUCCAAACAUUAAAAUUUUCUAACGAAACUUUAAUACUAACUCAAUGACACUCCAUAAAUAUUUAUAAAAAUAUUUAUAGCUCGAUUUUCAACUUUGAGGUCUCGAUACCUCAUUUUUGACCCCUUUGACCUAAUAAAUUCUUUUAAUUCACUAAUUUCACCAUUUCACAAAUUCUUCUAAAUUCUUACUUGACUCGUAAAUAUUAAAUUACUAUCUUUUUCAAUCUUAUUUGUCGAAUUUAGUGAUCUCAAAUCACCAUUCCCGACACCACUGAAAAUUAGGCCGUUACAAUCAUACUUCAUUCUUUUUGUUUCAUCUUAACGAGAUAGUUCUAGAUCAUCUCCUUCAAAAGCAACCUCUUCCGCUUUCCUUUUCCUCAAUAUACUUUCGCUAUUAUAAGCAUCCACCCCUCUUUCUAUCUCGAUUCGUUUCCAACUCACUUUCUUUGUUGAUUUCAGAAUUCCUGUAGAGUUUUUAAUUGCCCCAAUCACUUUUUCUUUAGCAUCUAUUUUAUCCUCCUGUAUCUUCAACGCUAGCUUUUUCUCAGUGUUUUGUGAAUUAGCUUGGGACAGAAUAUUAUUUUCCUCCACUUGUAAAUUUAAUUCAGGAAAAAUCUCAGUAUUUCCUACGUAUAAACAUUGGGGUUGCAUCUUUUUUGAACUGGCAUUAAACACGACUCUCUCUUCCAAUUAAUUUUAAUUCUGCUUUCAAAGCUAAUGAAAACGGAGGAUCAAUUCUGAUUUUGUUUCUUUCUUUAGGUGAAAACUCUUGGCAAUCCAUGAGCCCAUGCCCAAUCCUUCCACAACCGAAACAGAAUGUAGGUAAUUUUUCAUAUUUAAAAGGAGUCCAGAACUUAUUUUGAUUUUAUGUUGAGACGAAAAUACCCUUUCGCAAGGGUUUUUGUACAUCUAGCUUGACUCUCAGUCGACAGAAUUCUCCAUUUAUUUCGGAUCUGAAGAUGGCUCCAA